Molecule: long non-coding RNA, 1764 nt
Filed under: Homo sapiens (human)
Lineage: Eukaryota; Metazoa; Chordata; Mammalia; Primates; Hominidae
Description: novel transcript, antisense to PCDH11X
Source: RNAcentral
UUUUCUGGAGGGGAAGAAAACCCCACCCCUUCUCCAUGUCUCUACUCUUUUCUCUGGGCUUGCCUCCUUCACUAUGCUUCCACCUUCCAUUCCUCCUUCUUCUCCCUUAGCCUGUAUUCUUAAGAACUUAAAACCUCUUCAAUUCUCACCUGACCUAAAAUCUAAGCGUCUUAUUUUCUUCUGCAAUGCCGCUUGACCCCAAUACAAACUCGACAGUAGUUCCAAAUAGCCAGAAAACGGCACUUUCAAUUUUUCCAUCCUGCAAGAUCUAAAUAAUUCUUGUUGUAAAAUGGGCAAAUGGUCUGAGGUGCCUGACGUCCAGGCAUUCUUUUACACAUCAGUCCCCUCCUAGUCUCUGUGCCCAGUGCAACUCCUCCCAAAUCUUCUUUCUUUCCCUCCCGCCUGUCCCCUCAGUACCAACCCCAAGUGUCGCUGAGUCUUUCUAAUCUUCCUUUUCUACAGACCCAUCUGACCUCUCCCCUCCUCGACAGGCUGAGCUAGGUCCCAAUUCUUCCUCAGCCUCCACUCCUCCACCCUAUAAUCUUUUUAUCGCCUCCCCUCCUCACACCUGUUCCGGCUUACAGUUUCAUUCCGUGACUAGCACUCCCCCACCUGCCCAGCAAUUUAUUCUUAAAAAGGUGGCUGGAGCUAAAGGCAUAGUCAAGGUUAAUGCUCCUUUUUCUUUAUCCCAAAUCAGAUAGUGUUUAGGCUCUUUUUCAUCAAAUAUAAAAAUCCAGCCCAGUUCAUGACUUGUUUGGCAGCAACCCUGAGACACUUUACAGCCCUAGGCCCUAAAAGGUCUAAAGGCCGUCUUAUUCUCAAUAUACAUUUUAUUACCCAAUCUGCUCCCGACAUUAAAUAAAACUCCAAAAACUGGAAUCUGGCCCUCAAACCCCACAACAGGACUUAAUUAACCUCACCUUCAAGGUGUGCAAUAACAGAAAAAAGUUGCAAUUCCUUGCCACCACUGUGAGACAAACCCCAGCCACAUCUCCAGCACACAAGAACUUCCAAACGCCUGAACUGUAGCAGCCAGGCGUUCCUCCAGAACCUUCUCCCCCAGGAACUUGUUACACAUGCCGGAAAUCUGGCCACUGGGCCAAGGAACGCCCGCAGCCCAGGAUUCCUCCUAAGCCACGUCCCAUCUGUGUGGGACCCCACUGAAAAUCGGACUGUUCAACUCACCUGGCAGCCACUCCCAGAGCUCCUGGAACUCUGGCCCAGGGCUCUCUGACUGACUCCUUCUUGGCUUACCGGCUGAAGACUGAUGCUGCCCGAUCGCCUCAGAAGCCCCGUAGACCAUCACGGACGCCGAGCUUUAGGUAACUCACAGUGGAGGAAGGCAGGAAUGUCAGGCCUCUGAGCCCAAGCCAAGCCAUCGCAUCCCCUGUGACUUGCACGGAUACGACCAGAUGGCCGGAAGUAACUGAAGAAUCACAAAAGAAGUGAAUAUGCCCUGCCCCACCUUAACUGAUGACAUUCCACCACAACAGAAGUGUAAAUGGCCGGUCCUUGCCUUAAGUGAUGACAUUACCUUGUGAAAGUCCUUUUCCUGGCUCAUCCUGGCUCAAAAAGCACCCCCACUGAGCACCUUGCGACCCCCACUCCUACCCGCCAGAGAACAAACCCCCUUUGACUGUAAUUUUCCUUUACCUACCCAAAUCCUAUCAAACGGCCCCACCCUUAUCUCCCUUCACUGACUCUCUUUUAGGACUGAGCCCGCCUGCACCCAGGUGAAAUAAACAGCCAUGUUGCUCACACAAA